UUCGGGGCUAUUUUACAAACAUGGUGUAAUGAACGUCAUAUAUCAUAACAAAACAAAACUUUCAACAACGGAUCUCUUGGCUCUCGCAUCGAUGAAGAACGCAGCGAAAUGCGAUAAGUAAUGUGAAUUGCAGAAUUCAGUGAAUCAUCGAAUCUUUGAACGCACCUUGCGCCCUCUGGUAUUCCGGAGGGCAUGCCUGUUUGAGUGUCAUGUAGACUCAAUCCCUCGGGUUUCCGAGGAGAUUGGACUUGGGUGUUGCCGCUCUGCCGGCUCGCCUUAAAAGACUUAGCGGGAUAGCACCGUAGUCGGCGUAAUAAGUUUCGUCGGUGAAGGUUGUGAUAACUGCUUACAAUCGCCCUUGGACAAUUUUUGACUCUGACCUCAAAUCAGGUAGGACUACCCGCUGAACUUAAGCAUAUCAAUAAGCGGAGGAAAAGAAACUAACAAGGAUUCCCUUAGUAGCGGCGAGCGAAGCGGGAAGAGCUCAAAUUUGAAAGCUGGCGUCCUUC
This 509-nucleotide ribosomal RNA is filed under the name Saitozyma podzolica. Its description in RNAcentral is "eukaryotic LSU rRNA". The stretch from base 57 to 210 matches the Rfam family "5.8S ribosomal RNA". Lineage: Eukaryota; Fungi; Basidiomycota; Tremellomycetes; Tremellales; Trimorphomycetaceae. The record is from RNAcentral.